Eptesicus fuscus (big brown bat) is the source of this 450-nucleotide long non-coding RNA. RefSeq lists it as uncharacterized. The record is from RefSeq and is a predicted model, not a curated record. The transcript is spliced from 2 exons. Lineage: Eukaryota; Metazoa; Chordata; Mammalia; Chiroptera; Vespertilionidae.
UCCAGGGCAUAGAGAGAAGACUGGGUCUCCAAGGACAGAUUCAGCAUGUGAAGUGGAAAUGUGGAUGGCCGGCAUAGGGGGCAGGCAAAAGACUGUGGCUAAUUCAGAAAACAACUCCGAGACCAUGUGGAUUCCUGCAACAGAGAGGAAUUCACAGGAGUGCUCCAGCCAUGAAGACAGAAGAGAAGCAGUCCAGAGAUGGAAGACGCCGACCAGGCCUUGCCAUACUAGCAGUCAGCAGAUGUGCGUUACUGCAGAUUGCCCAGGACCAAACCAGAGAGGAUCAGACCUGCAUUACCACCAUUUGUCCACCAUCCAGAACUGGAAUAUCAUUGCUGUUAUGUACACAUAAACAACUGUUGGACAUAUAAAUCGGGACUCAAAAGAACUAUUGGCCCAGAAAGAAACUCACUAUAGACUGAUUCAUUUGCCUCUCAGCAUAACCAUUAU